This 1022-nucleotide long non-coding RNA is filed under the name Panax ginseng (ginseng). Its description in RNAcentral is "long non-coding RNA (PGIN_LNC007125)". Lineage: Eukaryota; Viridiplantae; Streptophyta; Magnoliopsida; Apiales; Araliaceae. The record is from RNAcentral.
UAGGAAAGAGGGGGCUUUCCGAUAAGGAUUUCUCCUUACUGGCGCGCAAUUAGGUGACCAAACUCAUUUCCUAGACAAAACUUCUUUAGACAUUGCCAAUAAUCCUAUCUAAUAAUAUGAUUCAAAUAAUAUGAAUUAUGGAUAUGAUAAUGGGAAAUAAUGUGCAUUGACAAUUAUUGAAACAACAAUAAUAUAAAAUAAUGUGCAAUACUGUGUACUACUGUGUAACAACGCGUAUUACUUUACUUUAACCACCAGGUAGUUCAACAGUGUUAACGGUAACAACUACACCGUUAUUUUUAGAAAACUCAUUUAUGUCGUUUUCUUCAUUCGAAAAUUUUUCGUUACGGGGCCCACAAAUGGUUGCGUCGUCGUACGAAUAUUCUCCGACAACAAGAAUAUUCCACGACAAAACGAAUAUUCUCCGACAACAAUGAAUAUUUUAUAACCACUUGCUUAUUUUGAAAAUUUUACAUAUAUCACCCUUAACUUUAAACUUUUAUCAAUUUAACUAUUUACUAAAUAGAAAAAUUGAAUACUUUUAUUUCAUAAAAUUCGGGGUCUUACAUAGUGUUUGCAUAGUAAAAACUUUUUUAUAUAAAACAGAAUACUUUUUAUAAAGUUUUGUUUUAUUUGAUUAUAAAUAGAAUAUAUUAUAUUUUAUUGCAUAGUGCAGCAUAGUAUCCUUUCCAUUCUCCUAUAAAUAGGAUGCUUAGUUAGAAUUGAAAAUCACACCAGAAAUUCAGAGAAUUCUUCUUCUAUAAUCUUGAGCGUAUUUCUUUAGAGUUUAAGAAAGCUUUGAGCGUAGAAAAUAGUGCAAGUUUUCUUCAAGUAUAUCCCCGCCUUACCCAUCGGAAUACUCUUCUUUUUAAGGUAAGGGGUAUUAUUCUUUCGUAUUCAUGAAGAAAGUUAUUUUCUUUCAAUACUCGUAAGGGUUGUUAUUCCAUUCUUUAUUAUUCUGUUGGAAUAACAUGCCUGUGCGGUCUAUCGCAUACCUGAGGAAUUCUGUUGUUAUUUCAUUC